GUAACAGGAGGCGACUGCCAAGAGAUGCUAAAGCUACUGCCAUUGGGAGUGAAUUUUGCUGAUCCUGGAAUGUUCACCGGAGGAGUGGCCUGUGUGAAAAGAAAGUAUUAUUCCAGCAAGAAGAACCAUUCCUCUUCCGAAGCAUUUCAAAGGAUCUUUCAUUCCUUGAAAUGAACUGCAAGCUGACACUUCACACUGCACAAAAAGAGGAAAUGAAUUGUUCCUGGCAUCCUUUGGGUACUUGUUGACACUUCAAGCAGAGCUUGUACUUGUUCAAUAAAAACAGAGCUGAAAUGAAGACCCUGGGAGGGAUUCGCUUGGCUGACUGGAUGGGAAUUUUUACAAUGCAGGAAACCCCAUAUGAGCAUGUCACCUUGGGUUCUCCUUACAGUCAGUGAAUAUUGAACUGAUGUAGGCAGUGGGAUACACAGAUUAACUCUUCUCAACCUGAAAUAUACACCUGUGUGUGGCUGGAUAAACAGCACCCCAAAAUUGACCAGCUGUGGCAGGCACAUAAGCAAACAAACAAACCAAUAGUGAGCUCAGAAGAAUACAUCUCAGUUUAAAUUAAAAAAAAAAAUGCCUUUGACUGCUCUGAAAACCUUUCAGCCCAUUAAAACCCAAACCUUGUGCAGUGACAUUUCUUCACACAUUAGUGACAUUAGUGUAAUCACUGGAGCUCAUACCACUGGUGUUACCUGGUAAGCAUGGUCCGUGUGUACGAGGUAGAGGUUGGUAGGAGCUGAGCGGCUCAGAGGUGUCAUCACUUUAGUCUCAGUUUUGGCACAGGAAGUUUCAGGACGGAUUGUGUCUUGGGUGGGAAAGGAAGGAGGAGAUGCUAAAGAUGGAGAGACUGGGGAAAGACUGCUUAGGCCAUCAGCUACUGAGUCCGUGUUGAGCCUGAUUUCUGUAUAGUAAAAAUCCUCCUCUCCAUCACUGUAGUCAGACUCUCCUACACGCCUGGAUCAAGAGAAAGAAGUAGGAAUUGAUUGAAAGCAAGAAUCCUGAGGUAAUGGGAAGAGGAAAAUCAUCUAAUCUGAAAGGAAGAGAAGUACAAAUUUCUUUUUUCACCUCUCUGUGUUAUUCUUGACAAAUUCUUUCACCUUGGAGUAGAUGUUUAACUUCUUCAGAUCAAGUAUCAGCUUCUCAUUUGUAAGUAUGUAAAGUUAAAAAGAAUCUCAACGCACUCCAUCUUUGUAAGUCACAGUGAAGAUAACAGGCAAGAUACCUUUCACUCGUUACAGCAAACAAUAUGCAAUCUUAUCAGAAGUUACUUAAUUAUACAAAUAUACUUGUGGCUGUCAUUCACUGUAACUUUCUGUAACAUAACAGGAAUUUGCAAGACAACAGUCUCACCAUGCAACUCACUCAGAUACAGAGAAAGCACUCAUACAGGCUGGCUUGCCGUGGCCAGGACUUUCUGGUCCUGCUCUCCAGAAGCUGACUAAUUGAAGGAGGGCAUGUAGGAGGUUUAAUUGCUUUAAAGUUUCAUCUGAUGUGCAUUUGAGCACAAGUGCUAGCAGUGAAGCUAGCAGUCAAAGCAGUAGCUCCAGCAGACUACAUGUUACUUGAAGUUCAAGCCAGAACUUGUUGAGAGAACAUAGGUCAGCAGGUUUGAAAGGCUCUACCAGAAGUACCAUCCAUUAGGAUGCAACCAGUCACUCACCAAAACUACUCAUUCCAGAAAAGUUUCUAACUCCAGCAAAUUACAGAAAUGUUUUGCUAUUUACUUCUCCCUCUCCCACACCACAAAGAGGAUGUCCCCAUUAUAUAGCGCACAAAUGAACAUUCCUAACUGCAUUUUGAGAGAGAUUUUCUCUGUUUCCCACAGCCUUAUUCUUAAGCCCAACAGUAAUUGCUGACCUCUUCAAGACCAUCCUGAGCUCCAGAUGAUUCUUGUGGUGGCUUUAAUUUUUAAGCUGUGGAUAACAGACCUACAGAACAGAGAUGUAGUUUCACCUAACAGAUGAAGACCGUGAGUCCCCACUGUAAUUAUAAAUGAGACAGGUACAUCACUCAGUGAAUUGCACAGGAGAUAUCAGUUGCAAACUGAAGCUCUGAAACAAACUUGUCCCCUAAAAGAUUAAUUUGCUUUUGCUUGUAGUCCAAGUAACAUACAUGUUUGUCCUGGUUUUGCCUGGGCUGGAGUUAAUUUUCUUCCAAGUAGCUAGCACAGAGAUGUCUUUUGGAUUUAGGAUGAGAAGAGCAUUGACAAUACACUGAUGUUUUAGUUGAUGCUGAGCACUGCUUACUCUAAAUCAAGAACUUAUCAGUGCCAGUGAGCAGGGGCACCAGAAGCUGGAAGGAAGCAUGGCCAGGACAAAGGGAUAUUCUGUUCCAUAGGAUGUCAUGUUCAGUAAAUACAUGGGAAGGAGUUAGCUGGGAGGUGCUGAUCUCUGCUUGGGGACAGGCUGGGCAUUGGUCAGCAGGUGGUGAGAAACUGUAAUGUGCAUCAUUUUUUUCUCUUCAAUUUUGUUUCUCUCUCUCUCCCCUUUCCUUACAAGUAUUAGAGUCAUUACUAUUACUGUUAUUAUUGUCAUCAGUGUUUUAUUUUGUUCAAGCCAUUAAACUGUUCUUGUCUCAACCCAUGACGUUUUUUCUUUAUUCCUUUGAUUCUUCCAGGGAAGGAAGAGGAUAGUAAGUGAACAGCUCUAUGGUACUUAGCUGCUUGACUGGGUUAAACCAUGACAACAUGGUCAGUUUCCUUUCAUUUUUAGGUUUCUUAUGUGAUUUGUUGUUUUGGUGGGUUUUUUGGCAUUUUUUUUUUUUUUUUUUGGCAUUAAUUCAACUCAGAACUGGCACAAGCACCUGACCUGAUGUGCAACAAAGCUGAAAAGUAUUCAUGCAAGACCCUGAACCUGUCCACCCACAGUGUCAUCCUGGAUGUGAUGUGCAGACAGCACAUAUGAUGUAAUGGCACCGAGCUGUGCAGCUGACAGGGAAGUGCAGUGUGACCUCCAGCUCUAUUUGACCUUCUAGCAAAGUUGACAGAAUUUCAGGAAAAAAGUGCCUCGCUGCUGGAAUAAGUGCUCAUUCACCUUGAUGCACUAUUCCACAAUUUCCUCAGAAACACAGGGAUAUGAGACACAGGAGCCAAGGACAAUCCAGUUCAUCUCUCCAGCCAAGGGCAAUUGCUCCUCUUCUAU
Long non-coding RNA from Oenanthe melanoleuca, 3146 nucleotides. RefSeq lists it as uncharacterized. The record is from RefSeq and is a predicted model, not a curated record. NCBI's taxonomy places the organism in Eukaryota, Metazoa, Chordata, Aves, Passeriformes, Muscicapidae. The transcript is spliced from 3 exons.